AUACUCACUUCAGCAGCACAUAUACUAAAAUUGGAAUGAUACCAAGAUUAUCAUGGCCCCUACUCAGGGAUGACACACAAAUUUGUGAAGCAUUCUAUUUUUUU
Small nuclear RNA from Pipistrellus kuhlii (Kuhl's pipistrelle), 104 nucleotides. Lineage: Eukaryota; Metazoa; Chordata; Mammalia; Chiroptera; Vespertilionidae. The record is from RefSeq and is a predicted model, not a curated record.